This 327-nucleotide ribosomal RNA is filed under the name Triticum aestivum (bread wheat). RNAcentral describes it as "partial small subunit ribosomal RNA". The record is from RNAcentral. Lineage: Eukaryota; Viridiplantae; Streptophyta; Magnoliopsida; Poales; Poaceae.
AUGUCCAACUUUAAAAUUCCCAAAAAAAUAUGCAAGGGAAUCACAGAUGUCUCAUUUUUUGGUGGGGGACGAGGACAAUCAGAAACGGAUGCAUUGGAUGACUUGGUGAAAAAUGUGUGUACCCAAAAAUCAAGGGGAGUGGGAUUCCAGGAUAUUCAUUGUUUCAACCUAGCGAUGUUGGCAAAAUAAGCAUGACGUAUUCUUGAGAAUCCAGAAUCCUUAUGUGCGACCGUAGUGGGAGCUAAAUAUUUCCCAAACGGUGAUUUAUUGGAUACAAAACUAAAGAAGGAUCCUCUUUUACUUUGCAAAGUAUUAUGGCGGGGUUAA